CCACACGAACCAAAACAGCCAGGCAGCGGUCCUGGAGAAGGCAGUUCGGGACGACAUUAUCAUACUUGCGGUAUCGCUAUUGAUUAGCACUCGAAAGGAAAGCGAGCAUAGUGACGCUUCCAUGCCUGCUUUGUUCAGACAAGCGAGGAAAGCAGCUGUGUACAAUGCUGCAGAUCGCACGUCAUAUCUAGAGAGAGGCAGAAAUGAUCCCGUUUUAGGCAGAGCUGGCAUUCGGCAUGUUUUGGGGACAAAAUACUUGGAUUUGCAUAUUCUCUGGCUGGUGUUCUCUAAAUCUGUACGUGCUGUUUGAAGAAGUGGAGCUGAGUGAACACGUAGCCGCUACUAGCUAGCCACCUACUUGUGGACAUUUGUCAUUGACAUUUUUUUAUUUAAUUUAUUUCAUUUCAUUGGGACGGUGCACACUAAUCAACACAAGAGUAAAAACUGGCCAUCGUAGAUACUGUGAGAGAGUAUGGGACAAAUUCGCAAGAGUACCGUAUUUUCCGCACUAUAAGGUGCUUCGGAUUUUAAGGUGCACCUUCAAUGAAUUUGAAAACUUUUUUCAUAUAUUAGGUGCACUGCAUUAUAAAUCACAUAGAAGCUACAAUAGUGGCUCCGGUUGCGCCUUGCAUCCACUAGAUGGUGCUACACUAAAGGGAAUACAAUACAAUACAAUACAAUACAGCUUUAUUGAUAUAUAGCCUUCACAACCGCUGCAGCUGUAACAAGAACUGGUCACAAACAUGGACAUGAAACAUAAAAAUGGCAUUAUAAAACAACAAAUGAAAGACAAAAGUUAUGCAGAUAACUGAUUCAACAAAAAGGGCACACAGACCUUGUGGGCUCACAUCCACA
This is a long non-coding RNA of Hippocampus zosterae (dwarf seahorse), 855 nucleotides long. RefSeq lists it as uncharacterized. The record is from RefSeq and is a predicted model, not a curated record. The transcript has 3 exons. Lineage: Eukaryota; Metazoa; Chordata; Actinopteri; Syngnathiformes; Syngnathidae.